GGCUGGGCGGGCGGACCGGACAGUCGAUAACUGUGUCUGGCCCUCCGGGGCCUACCUUUUAUCCAGCAAUGGGCCUGACGAUACUGAAAGCGCGUUGGGGCUGGUAUCCUGGGACCUUCUCGUGGUAGCCCUGUUUAAACUGACCUUACCAGGAUAUUUGACCUGCUCUCAGAAAUUGAGUCUAGUUGCCCAAGUGUCACACAUUAGGGUUUUUUUGGUCAAAUCAAACAUGCAUCAAUGAAAUCUUUGCAGAACUCAGUCCGUUUGAUAAAUUUCUACAAUUUUGGACCACAGUGUGAAACUAAAACUUUGCCCAGAGGGAAAAAUUCAAACCCCCAUUUCAUUCUAAAUCAUUUUUUUUUUCAUUCAGGUCCGUUCAAAACAUGCCUAAAACUGGAGAUGGAAUAUAAUUGUGAAGUAAUUUUUUUGUUUUUAGAAAUCUGACUGGUUUUCUCAGAGCAGGUCACAUCAGUUCGGUUGAGAUGUGCACGGACCAAGGACUAAUCCUUCUCUUUCUUUGUUAUUUGUUGCAGAUAAUUGAUCUGGUCACCUCGCGCUGGGGACACACUGACAGACAUCCAACAAACUGUCUCAGAAGAAUCCUGCUGCAGCAACGCAACAUUUGAUCAAAGGCUCAUGGUCCGUGUAGUGCUGACGAUGACAUUCAAGGAUCGUCGGCCAUGUGACGUUAGCUGAGUGACUGAAACACACUCCGCUUAAUUGCAUUUAUUGCAUUUUAUGAAAAAAAAACACUGUUUAAACUUGUAUGCAGUAAUUUCAUAGACAUGUGUUUUGAUAUAAUCUCAAUUUCAUCUUUUAAUGCAUUUUCACUUAUUUUUGAUGUUUACUUUUAAAUUGAAAUGUAUUCACUCCUUAAACUCUCACAAGAAACAAUACAAAUGUAUCUUCCAAAAAAACAAAUAUUUUAGUGACUUGUGACAGUUGCAUCACAAAUCCUAAGUCCAUUGACUUUAACCAUAACUCAGUCACCUAAUUUGCCAGUUUAUGAAACUGCACAGACCUGCAUACUAGUUGCUGUUAUUUAACGGGGAAUGGUCGUCUUAUCAAAGUUUUAAGCAUUGAAGCAAGUUGAGUCUUGAAUUAUUCAAACUUCCCUAAUUUUGAAGUCAUUUUCGUUGCAAUUUUUUUUUCCUGUUUAUUUUUUUGCAUGAGUAUAUUUGUAGUGAAAAGUAUUAAUUUUGUUAUCGACAUAAGUAUAUGUCGCAAACACUGCAAGUUUUGUUCGUUUUUCGGAUUUGCUUCCUGGAUGGUCAGAAAUGUAUUGUUAAUUUAGGGAAGUAUGUGUACGAUAAUGUCUGAAGUAAAAUCUGUUUUAAAGUACAAAUAAAUGAGUUUGACAGCA
Molecule: long non-coding RNA, 1363 nt
Filed under: Patiria miniata (bat star)
Lineage: Eukaryota; Metazoa; Echinodermata; Asteroidea; Valvatida; Asterinidae
Description: uncharacterized LOC119719815, transcript variant X2
Source: RNAcentral